AGUGAACGCUGGCGGUAGGCCUAACACAUGCCAGUCGAACGGCAGCACAGUAAGAGCUUGCUCUUACGGGUGGCGAGUGGCGGACGGGUGAGGAAUACAUCGGAAUCUACUUUUUCGUGGGGGAUAACGUAGGGAAACUUACGCUAAUACCGCAUACGACCUACGGGUGAAAGCAGGGGAUCUUCGGACCUUGCGCGAUUGAAUGAGCCGAUGUCGGAUUAGCUAGUUGGCGGGGUAAAGGCCCACCAAGGCGACGAUCCGUAGCUGGUCUGAGAGGAUGAUCAGCCACACUGGAACUGAGACACGGUCCACUCCUACGGGAGGCAGCAGUGGGGAAUAUUGGACAAUGGGCGCAAGCCUGAUCCAGCCAUACCGCGUGGGUGAAGAAGGCCUUCGGGUUGUAAAGCCCUUUUGUUGGGAAAGAAAAGCAGCAGGUUAAUACCCCGCUGUUCUGACGGUACCCAAAGAAUAAGCACCGGCUAACUUCGUG
Molecule: ribosomal RNA, 490 nt
Filed under: uncultured bacterium
Lineage: Bacteria
Description: partial 16S ribosomal RNA
Rfam family: Bacterial small subunit ribosomal RNA
Source: RNAcentral